AGUCCGCCAUUGCAAACACGAAGCUCUUCCAGAAACGCCCUCACAGACACCCCGGAAGUCACGUACCCACUCUGUAGGUGCCCCGGGGCACAGGCAAGCGGACGAGCCAGUUAUCCCUCAGAGCUCCUGCUGCCUCGCCCGCUUUCUCUCGGAAACGUGAAGUGUGGCCUCAGCUGAAAGUGAGGUGGGCCUCAUUCAAUCAGUUGAAUUCUUCAAGAGAGAAAAACUGAAGUCCCUUAGAAGGAAAGAGUUCUGCCUUCAGACUGUCUUUGAACUUAAGACUGUAGCGUCGACUCCUGCCGGAAUUUCCAGCCUGCUGGCCAGCUCUGCAGAUUCACACUUGCCAGCCUCCACAAUCUUCCUGGAUUUGAAACUGAAGAAGCAAGCAAUCUGGAAAUGUCAGUGGAUGCACACAAAGAAACAACCGCAAAAGCCUGCUCGCUCUAGCCAAGGGACAAGAAUAGGGGCAGUCCAUCAAGACAGAAUCCUUUUAAAAAAUAACCACUCCACUCCAGCAAUACCACAGAAGAAUCUGGCUGUACCCCAGGUACAUCAGCAAAGAUAACCUUUACCUAGCAGUAAAGAGGUCCCCCUUACACUGGGAGCCCUAGUGAAGAGCAGGGACUUUCACCCCCACCUAGCAGUGAUGGGGCCCCACCCACCACAGUGCCAGCAGAGACCAUGUGGGAGCCAGAAUCCUCAUCCCUACCCAGCAGUAACAAGGAGCCCUCCUCACUGCGGGCAUCAAGGGUGAGUGAGUGCAAAACCUGGGUGUCACUCGGAAGGGAAGAAUGGUGUCUCCUUCCUUCCCAUCCCCUGCCAGAGUGAUAUCACUAGGAAAAAGAAAAUAAUUUAUCACCAGCAAAUCUACCCUACAGCUAAAACAGAGGGCUUAAGUUAGGCCCAGAAUCUCAUGACAUAAUACGAAAAUGUCCAGAAUUUAAUAGAAAAUCACUUAUUCUACUAAAAAUGGAGAGGAUCACACAAUGGGUGAAAAGACAAUCAGUGCAUGCCAUACAAAUUGACAGAGAUGUUGGAAUUAUUUGACAAAGGUUUUAAAACAGCGAUGAAAAUGCUUCAAUAAACAAUUACGAACACACUUAAACAAAGGAAAACAAAGAAAGCCUCAGCAAAGAAAUAGAAAGCCUCAGCAAGGCAAUAGAGAUAU
Molecule: long non-coding RNA, 1168 nt
Filed under: Homo sapiens (human)
Lineage: Eukaryota; Metazoa; Chordata; Mammalia; Primates; Hominidae
Description: non-protein coding lnc-TBC1D22A-4:5
Source: RNAcentral